AAUGCCCGCUCUCUCGGUUGCGAUUCAACGCUGGAGACACCAGGCGCUGGCUAUUGAGGUGGUGAUGGACCAACACGGCAGCCAAUAUCUCCUCCUCGUCAUCGGACGACGAAUCGUCGGACUCGCAAAGGAAAUUGUGAAAAAAGAACUCGUUGGCGGAGUCCAUUUUAUACCUUGGCAAACUGUCAAACAUCUUGCGGGCGUCGACGAAGGAGACGGCCGGCGAAGGGAGUCGCGACGCGCACGGACCAACUAGCUGCCUUGCCGGCGUCCGACGAGCGUGCCAGCAUCCGACGAGCGUGUCGGUGAGGAUCUAGCCGAGGCGGCUUCUUGGUCGCGGUCGCGGUUGUGUCGGGGGGAGUGGGGGUGGAAAGCUGUCGGUUCCCCAGUGGCAAGACGGCGGUGGCGAGCGACGUGGGAGGUGGCGGCGUUUGCAGAGCGGAUGUUGCGGCGCCAGCAGCUGCCAGAGUCACCGAAAAAAUGGGCGGCGGCGGCGGCGACGAAGGAGGCGGGCAAGGGUUUGCUGUUGGAUGGGGAGAGGCCAAUGUGCCACCGACCAGCGGGUCAGGAGGGAGGAGAAGGCGAGCAUGCGCGCGUCCAUCUCGUGUCCACACCGACGCAAAUCCGGCUAAAAAAUGGGUCGGGAAUGGGUCGCCCGCGGACGAAAAGUGAACGCGCGUUCGUUUGGGUCGGCGCGUUGGGCCGAUUUUUGUGUCCGCGCCGACCCAAAAGAACGCCCGCGGAUGAAAUGGGUCAUCCUGUUGGAGUUGUUCUAAGGAGUGAUGGGAGUGUUCUCUCCAGGCUACGCCUACAAUCCGAGGCAGGUUCAGGGAGUGAUUGUUCCCCGUUCGUGUGGCUUUUCGGUUAGAUCGCAUGCAACCGUGAGCGGAGUGUGUCCCCGUAAGACAAGUACCUAGGUAAUGAUAACUACAUAAUUUUAUAUUUGAGAUGAAUGAUACUUAUGCAAUUAACAUAAUAUAAGCAAUGUGGAAAGAUGUGAUUGGAGAUUAAGGAAGUAAGGGGCCCACCCCAUGAAAAUUGGGUGGGGGAUAGUUAGUUUGUUAGGAAGUUACAUAGAGCCCUUCGUAGGAGCACGUGGAUGUAGCAUUUUCGCCGUUCGACGACUAGCGCGGACACGUCGCCUUCCCGGCCACCGUCGUUUGAAAAGGAUAAAAAACAAUGUCCAAAGAAGAUAGACAUCCAUCUUCAACGUCGACCCUCAAACCUCCCGCAAGUGUCCGGACCGCGCGGUUCAGACGUGUUGUGCCAUCCAACACUGGUCUAUAUCGAUCUGUUCGACGGUCCGGACAAACUUCCUCCUACAAACCGAACACAAAUUAGGGGGCUUUGUGGAUGUCGGGGCAUCAGCCACGCCUGCUUCUGACCACCCUGACCCAUCCAAAACACCCCACCCUUGCCCGUGUGCGUUCCCGCCAGGCACCAGCUACCCGCAUUCAUGUCGCUGUAGAGCGCCCGCUCCACGUUGAAGCCGGCCCAGAGCGGAUGUGACCUCUCAGUGGCUCCGGCUUUAAAGCAGCACGCCAGCCGAGGGAACCGCCCGCUGCACGCCCAGCUGGACACGCAUUCUCGCCGGAUACGAGCCAGGCAACUCGCUGCUCCACCUCCCUCGCCUAGCCUGACGGAGCAAGUUGCUGCUCCAAACCGACAUGUGAUUCAACAACUCGUCGCUCCAAGCCAGCUCACGGGGGAGCAUGGUGGAACAAGAAUCAUGGCUGCCAUGGACGAGGCCUGACGUCGUGCCAUCAGCCGUCAAAUGUUGGCAACCGUGCCUGGUCGAUGGAGAAAGAAGCCGGCUACAUGAAAAUCGAUGAGUCUUUGGCUAGCAUGUCCGGGUCCGCCGCCAUCAUCGAGGGAAAAUAGAACAUGAGAGGCCGUCGCCACUUGGGUUCCAAGAAGGCCACUGCCGGCAUGUCGCCAGCUUGCAAACCUCCCCCUUCGGUUGAAGCACCCCUUUGCCACUCCGGUGAGCAGCCCAGUCGGACAUAGGAAGAUAUGGAGGAAAGAUAUACCUUUGGGGCUUUAAGCAGCCUAAGUGGACUGCCGGACAUGGGAAGACAAAGGGAUCCGCCGCAGCCUAUCAUAGACUAGUGUAGUGUAUCCAUGUCGUGGGAAUGGAGCUCCGCGCGGUCGGACGUGAACAUAGUUUUACCCUUGUUUUGGUUAAAAUAUGUUCAAAAUGUAAAUGUUUUCGUCCGGUUUAUAUGAAAUCCGUUGUGUUUACAUGAAUUUCAUCCGGUUUGUUGAAAACAUAUUUGAAAUGUAGUAGCGUUGGAUGGCCAGCUUCGGUAUCCUUGUCCGUGGACUGGUCCCCCGUGUUCGUGGACGGAUGUCGAAACAAAUUUGAGGAUCAGCGUUGGAGAUGCCCUGCCACAUGUUUUAUCUGCUAUUUGUCAAUUGUAGCUCUAAUGGUGAUGCUGCUUCGUACUAUCGAGCAAUAAGUCGACGCUAAAAACUUGUCCAAUUCAAAUACGGAUGCACAAUCUGAUAAAAUUAGAAAGAUGUUUCUUCUUAUUCGUCGAUAAACAAAAGGGGGCGAGGCCUAGGGCGAAGCACCAAAUGUGUGUAUUUCUAUGCCAUAAAAUGCUGAAAAUGCAUGGCCUGGACACAGGCUAGCACUAGUAGUCUUUUGGCUCCCCGUUUGCCUCUGGUAUUCGAUAAGACCAAGCUGUUCUUGGAGUACGAUAGUGAUGAUUGUUGCAUAUAUGCAGAAAAUAGUGAAGGACUGAUAGAGCAUUUUCUCAUAUAAUCUUUUAGCCUUUUUGCACCACAUUGUAAUCAUAUUUUCACAUUAUUUACUUCAGAAAUAUUCAAAUACCCCCAUUAUACUACAUUUACAACACUCCUCCAUGUUUUGGAGAAAAGGGCGAAAAGGCCCAAAAUCCUUCUAUAAUGGAGAGUGUCAAGAAACUGUGGUUGCUGUAACUUACGGAGGGACCCGACCGUGAAGAAAAGAAGUAACCAGAGGGGUCAAGCUAAAGUUGGAGGGAUCAUCUUGUGAAGAAAGAAGAGAAGUGGAAGGGCAAAAGAGCAAAACUGGCAGAUCAGAGGAGGGGAUCAAAUCCCUAGCGGCAUCCAUCGAUCCCCUUUGGGCCUGGACCACAUCUCCUCUUCCCCCGUCCCCUUCUCCACCACCGGCCGCCGCCGCGGCCAGGCCGGCGUGGCGGCGCACCAUCCAUCCAUUGGCGCCGCCAGCCACGACCAUCUCCACCACGCACCACCAGCACCAUACCAUCCAUCCUGCCAACCUCCAGCGCCAUUGCAUCCACGGCGCGGCCGACCAGACAAGUUGUCUGGUGCCUCGCGCGACCAUCCCCACGCUGCUGCUGCUUUUCCGACGUCCCUGCUGCUCCUCCGCUUCCCUCGCCUUGCUGCUGCUUUUCUUUCUCAACGCCGGCUGCUGCUUCCCCGCUUCCCUCCGCUGCUUGCUGCUUCUUCUUCUCUCCCCUGCUCAAAACUGUUGCUGCUUCGCUAACUCUGCUGCUUCUUCUCUGAUCCCCUGCUGCUGCAUUUCUCCUCUGCCACCCUCAACGUCUGCUUCUGCUGCAUCUCUUCUUUUCUCCCCAAAACUGCUGAUCUACUCUCUUGCUGCGCCCACGCUUCUCUUCUGAACCUGAAGCUCUUCUACAAUCUCUCUCUCUCUCUCUCUCUCUCUCUCUCUCUCUCUCUCUCUCUCUCUCUCUCUCUCUCUCUAAAUAUUGUACGUUGCAUUGUAAGAAUUGGUGAAUUGUCCAGAAUUAAUGUGGUUUAGUAUUUCUAUUAUGUUGAUCUGUUAGUACGAGUACGUAGUUUGCUUAAACCAAUUCAUAUUUGUAUUGUCACUCUUGUGCUUCUCUUACUGUAGAAACUGGUUCUAGAUUGUAGUCCAUGUGUUAGCAAGUUCUUGUCAUACAUAUGUACUUGUGAUGUGAAGUAUGUUUGUCCCUGUACCUUAAUCUUGCUUCUUCCUUUUUAUACAUUGUUUGCUGGAUAUACAUGUUAUGAUGUUUUAUAGUUUUCCUUGUCAGUGAUUGUUGCCUGUGCUAGUAUUGUAGUUUCUCAAGUAAUAUGAAAAUACCAAAAAGACAGUGAUUGUAGUCUUAAUCACUCUAUGCUGUUUGUUAUUUUCUUACUCGUCAAUCCUUGUCAGUGUUAGGUUUAUUUUCUGUUUUCAUCUCCCAAUAUCGUGGUACCUAGCUUUAGCCGAGCAUAGUUGCUGUUGCCUAGUCCCUGAGGAGUACACGACACUCGCAUUUUGGGCGUAAAACCCCACUGUACCUACAUUCGAAUCAAGGACCCGGCUACCUGUUGAUGGGCGGGUUUGUUGGGGAACGUAGUAAUAAAUAAAAAAAUCAUACGUGUCACCAAGAUCAAUCUAGGAGAUGCUAGCAACGAGAGAGGGAUUGCAUCUUCAUACCCUUAGAGAUCGCUAAGCGGAAGCG
This 4439-nucleotide long non-coding RNA is filed under the name Triticum aestivum (bread wheat). Its description in RNAcentral is "long non-coding RNA (TAES_LNC000084)". The record is from RNAcentral. Lineage: Eukaryota; Viridiplantae; Streptophyta; Magnoliopsida; Poales; Poaceae.